ACACUGCUGAGGAGUCCCACAAUAGGACGAAACAUCCAGUCCAGUGC
RNAcentral lists this non-coding RNA (47 nucleotides) under Schistosoma curassoni. Lineage: Eukaryota; Metazoa; Platyhelminthes; Trematoda; Strigeidida; Schistosomatidae. The record is from RNAcentral.